RNAcentral lists this transfer RNA (77 nucleotides) under Faecalibacillus sp. RNAcentral's name for it is "tRNA-Arg". Lineage: Bacteria; Bacillati; Bacillota; Erysipelotrichia; Erysipelotrichales; Coprobacillaceae. The record is from RNAcentral. RNAcentral also lists the same sequence under 1 other name.
GGCGCAUUAGCUCAAAUGGAUUGAGCCACGACCUUCUAAGUCGUUGGGUACCUGUUCGAGUCAGGUAUGCGCCUCCA